RNAcentral lists this ribosomal RNA (172 nucleotides) under Pelagodinium bei. Its description in RNAcentral is "Pelagodinium beii partial Bacterial large subunit ribosomal RNA". It matches the Rfam family "Bacterial large subunit ribosomal RNA", at positions 1798 to 2003 of the family's 2925-position model. Lineage: Eukaryota; Dinophyceae; Suessiales; Suessiaceae. The record is from RNAcentral.
GGCGGACAGUUUUUUAAAAACGUAGGGCUUCGUCAGGCCCAUGUUUCCAUCUGAUGUCCCUAACGGUGACCAGUAUGGUUGUUUACUAACUAUUCACGUCAGCCGUAAAUAUGACGGUUUUAAUGUAGCAAAAUUCCUUGUCUAGUGGUUUUAGACCGGCAUGAAUCCUGGA